UGUGUAGGCGGAAUAUUAAGUCAGUGGUGAAAUCCUGCGGCUCAACCGUAGAACUGCCAUUGAUACUGAUAUUCUUGAAUGUAGUUGAGGUAGGCGGAAUGUGUAAUGUAGCGGUGAAAUGCUUAGAUAUUACACAGAACACCGAUUGCGAAGGCAGCUUACUAAACUAUGAUUGACGCUGAUGCACGAAAGCGUGGGGAGCGAACAGGAUUAGAUACCCUGGUAGUCC
RNAcentral lists this ribosomal RNA (229 nucleotides) under uncultured bacterium. RNAcentral describes it as "partial 16S ribosomal RNA". It matches the Rfam family "Bacterial small subunit ribosomal RNA", at positions 568 to 796 of the family's 1533-position model. The record is from RNAcentral.